RNAcentral lists this ribosomal RNA (345 nucleotides) under uncultured Acholeplasma sp. Its description in RNAcentral is "bacterial SSU rRNA". It matches the Rfam family "Bacterial small subunit ribosomal RNA", at positions 1035 to 1381 of the family's 1533-position model. Lineage: Bacteria; Bacillati; Mycoplasmatota; Mollicutes; Acholeplasmatales; Acholeplasmataceae. The record is from RNAcentral.
CAGGUGGUGCAUGGUUGUCGUCAGCUCGUGUCGUGAGAUGUUGGGUUAAGUCCCGCAACGAGCGCAACCCUUAUUGCUAGUUACCAUCAUUGAGUUGGGGACUCUAGCGAGACUGCCAGCGAUAAGCUGGAGGAAGGUGGGGAUGACGUCAAAUCAUCAUGCCCCUUAUGACCUGGGCUACAAACGUGAUACAAUGGCUGGAACAAAGGGAGGCGAAGGGGUGACCUGGAGCGAAACCCAAAAAUACAGUCUCAGUUCGGAUUGAAGUCUGCAACUCGACUUCAUGAAGUCGGAAUCGCUAGUAAUCGCGGAUCAGAACGCCGCGGUGAAUACGUUCUCGGGUUU